RNAcentral lists this ribosomal RNA (440 nucleotides) under uncultured bacterium. RNAcentral describes it as "partial 16S ribosomal RNA". It matches the Rfam family "Bacterial small subunit ribosomal RNA", at positions 338 to 795 of the family's 1533-position model. The record is from RNAcentral.
CCUACGGGAGGCAGCAGUGGGGAAUAUUGCACAAUGGGGGAAACCCUGAUGCAGCGACGCCGCGUGAGUGAAGAAGUAUUUCGGUAUGUAAAGCUCUAUCAGCAGGGAAGAAAAUGACGGUACCUGAUUAAGAAGCCCCGGCUAACUACGUGCCAGCAGCCGCGGUAAUACGUAGGGGGCAAGCGUUAUCCGGAUUUACUGGGUGUAAAGGGAGCGUAGACGGCAGCACAAGUCUGGAGUGAAGUGCCGGGGCUUAACCCCGGAACUGCUUUGGAAACUGUGCAGCUAGAGUGCAGGAGAGGUAAGUGGAAGUCGUGGUGUAGCGGUGAAAUGCGUAGAUAUUAGGAGGAACACCAGUGGCGAAGGCGGCUUACUGGACUGUAACUGACGUUGAGGCUCGAAAGCGUGGGGAGCGAACAGGAUUAGAUACCCCAGUAGUC